AACUUUUGACAAUGGAUCACUUGGCUCUCGCAUCGAUGAAGAACGCAGCGAAAUGCGAUAAGUAAUGUGAAUUGCAGAUUUUGAGUGAAUCAUCGAAUCUUUGAACGCACCUUGCGCCCCUUGGUAUUCCGAGGGGCAUGCCUGUUUGAGUGUCAUUGAAAUAUCAACCUUGGGUGGAUUUGCUUCCUCUCCGAUGGUUGGACUUUGGAGAGUGCUGGCGUCAGGUCGGCUCCUCUUAAAUGCAUCAGCGGAAAACUUUGACCUCUGGACGUCAGCGUGAUAAUCACGUUGCGCUGUCGACCGAGGUGUCAUCAUAAGGACCCGCUUCUAAUGGUCUUCGGACAGGACAUCAAAUUUGACCUCAAAUCAGGUAGGACUACCCGCUGAACUUAAGCAUAUCAAUAAGCGGAGGCU
This 414-nucleotide unclassified non-coding RNA is filed under the name uncultured Atheliaceae. RNAcentral's name for it is "sequence contains ITS2". The stretch from base 1 to 155 matches the Rfam family "5.8S ribosomal RNA". Lineage: Eukaryota; Fungi; Basidiomycota; Agaricomycetes; Atheliales; Atheliaceae. The record is from RNAcentral.